GACGAACGCUGGCGGCGUGCCUAACACAUGCAAGUCGAGCGAAUGAAGUUCCUUCGGGAUUGGAUUUAGCGGCGGACGGGUGAGUAACACGUGGGCAACCUGCCUCAUAGAGGGGAAUAGCCUCCCGAAAGGGAGAUUAAUACCGCAUAAGAUUGUAGUACCGCAUGAUACAGCAAUUAAAGGAGCAAUCCGCUAUGAGAUGGGCCCGCGGCGCAUUAGCUAGUUGGUGAGGUAAUGGCUCACCAAGGCGACGAUGCGUAGCCGACCUGAGAGGGUGAUCGGCCACAUUGGGACUGAGACACGGCCCAGACUCCUACGGGAGGAAGCAGUGGGGAAUAUUGCACAAUGGGGGAAACCCUGAUGCAGCAACGCCGCGUGAGUGAUGACGGCCUUCGGGUUGGAAAGCUCUGUCUUCAGGGACGAUAAUGACGGUACCUGAGGAGGAAGCCACGGCUAACUACGUG
This 464-nucleotide ribosomal RNA is filed under the name uncultured bacterium. RNAcentral describes it as "partial 16S ribosomal RNA". It matches the Rfam family "Bacterial small subunit ribosomal RNA", at positions 28 to 507 of the family's 1533-position model. The record is from RNAcentral.